UAUAUGAACCAACAUGGAGUUUCCAAAGACGAAGCAGUCAAAAUACUUCAAAAAAUGGCUACAGAUUGUUGGAAAGAAAUUAAUGAAGAAUGUAUGAGGCAGAGUCAAGUGUCAGUGGGUCACCUAAUGAGAAUAGUUAAUCUGGCACGUCUUACGGAUGUGAGUUACAAGUAUGGAGACGGUUACACUGAUUCCCAGCAAUUGAAACAAUUUGUUAAGGGAUUGUUCGUUGAUCCAAUUUCUAUUUGAACUCAAUAAUUCCUUUUUUCAUUUUGUACUUCAAUAAGUUAUAAAUGACCCGUGCACUAGCUGUGGUGAUUAUUGUAUUUAAAUUGCCUUUUAAAUUAAUAUAUGAAUCAAGAAUUUUAUAGAAAAAAUCUCAUAUUAUUAAUCUUUUUGCAAGAGCUAUUGUUCGAGAAAGGAAGAAAGGGGGGAAAAUAUUAUUUUUACUUUUUGAUGAUGAUGAUAUGUAUAUUCUAUUAUAUUCUAGUAUAUUCUCUUAUUGUCUAAUUAGGCACUAUCCUUUUAUUGUCUAAUUAGGCACUAAUUUAGUUUUCCUAUUUUAGUUAAAAAUAUGUAUUUAAAUAGACACUAGCAUUCUCAUUGUAUAUACACUUUAGAAUACAAAUUCAAUCUUAUUAUUCUCUUUUAGAUGGUAUCAGAGCCUCCCUUCCGUUUCUCAAUAUUUUGUCACCGAAUUUAACUUCCAUCACCACUGAAAGAUUCUUCUCUCUGUGACGAAUUCAAUGCCAUAAAAAUCAAUCCAAACAGACAUCAAACGCUCCGUUAUGGUCCGCCGAAAGUUUUUGUCGUAAUUUAAAACGUUACAAAGCUUGGAAGUUGAAGACAAUCAAAACGAAUCGUCAUUUUGACUGCUUAAUAUUCACUCUGCCGUUUAUUCAGCUGCCGCAAUUUUUUAAUUACUGGUUUGUAGCUGUCCGGUUCAAUCAAACCAGUUCACUUUGGUCAGUCUGAUUCAUCCAUUUUCUGAUCAAUUUUUUUUUUCAACUCGAAACAGUUUCUAAGGUUUUUGACUUUUCUGAAUAUUUUUUUGAGGUCUGUUUUGUCAAAAUAAGACUUUCUAUUUCCGGUUUGGUUCAGAUCUUAUUAUUUCCGCAUAUUUUUUUUGGUUUCGCGAUCUUAUUUCGAAACUCAAGCUUUUUGAUUCUCAUCCAUCUUGAGUUUGAGGGAGAUGAUAAUAUGUAUAUUCUAGUAUAUUCUCCUAUUGUCUAAUUAGAUACUAAUUAGACACUAAUUUAGUUUUCCUAUUUUAAUUAAAGAUGUCUAUAUAAAUAGACACUAGAACUCUUAUUAUAAUAUACAAUUUAAAAUAAAAAUUCAAUCUUAUUAUUCUUUUAUACAGAUAAAAUGAAAGAAAAAGGAGGAAAAUAAAUUAAACAGUAAGUUUUCUUUUUAAUGAAUAAUAAAUUGACUGUGUAUUAUCAAAUAACUACAGACUGAACAACAAAGAGGACACGUUGCAUCUUGCAUCGACUGCUAUAUGAACCAACAUGGAGUUUCCAAAGACGAAGCAGUCAAAAUACUUCAAAAAAUGGCUACAGAUUGUUGGAAAGAGAUUAAUGAAGAAUGUAUGAGACGGAGUCAAGUGUCAGUGGGUCACCUAAUGAGAAUAGUCAAUCUGGCACGUCUUACGGAUGUGAGUUACAAGUAUGGAGACGGUUACACUGAUUCCCAGCAAUUGAAACAAUUUGUUAAGGGAUUGUUCGUUGAUCCAAUUUCUAUUUGAAUUCUGUAAAUCCAAUGUACUUUAAACGUG
This 1777-nucleotide long non-coding RNA is filed under the name Ricinus communis (castor bean). RNAcentral's name for it is "long non-coding RNA (RCOM_LNC000337)". The record is from RNAcentral. Lineage: Eukaryota; Viridiplantae; Streptophyta; Magnoliopsida; Malpighiales; Euphorbiaceae.